Molecule: long non-coding RNA, 763 nt
Filed under: Numida meleagris (helmeted guineafowl)
Lineage: Eukaryota; Metazoa; Chordata; Aves; Galliformes; Numididae
Description: lncRNA (ENSNMEG00000002126.1)
Source: RNAcentral
AGUGGAGGUCCCUGCUGAGGUGGUGGCAGGAGCAGUGGAGGUGACAUCAGAGGAGGUGACACCAGUGGUGGUGACACCAGUGGAGGUGACACUGGUGGAGGUUCCGUCAGUAGUAGAGGAGACAGCAGAGGUCUCUGUUGAGGUGGUGGCAGGAGCAGUGGAGGUGACAUCGGUGGGGGUGACACUGAUGGAGGUGACAUCGGUGGUGGUGACACCAGUGGGGGUGACACCAGUGGAGGUGACACUGAUGGAGGUGCCCUCAGUAGUAGAGGAGACAGUGGCGGUCAUUUCUGAGGUGGUGGCAGGAGCAGUGGAGGUGACAUCGGUGGAGGUGACACCAGUGGAGGUGACAUCGGUGGAGGGUCCUAGCAGGGUUGUGGAAGAGGCUGUAGAGGACGCUCCUGAGGCAGUGGGAGAUGAUGUGGGGGUGACACUGGUGGAGGUGACAUCUGUGGUGGUGCCACCAGUGGAGGUGACAGCAGUGGUGGUUCCCUCAGUAGAAGAGGAGACAGCAGAGGAUCCUCCUGAGGUGGUGGCAGGAGCAGUGGAGGUGACAUCAGUGGGGGUGACACUGGUGGAGGUGACAGCAGUUGGGGUUCCCUCAGUAGCAGAAGAGACAGUGGAGGUCCCUGCUGAGGUGGUGGCUGGAGCGGUGGAGGUGACAUCGGUGGAGGUGACACCAGUGGAGGUGACAUCGGUGGUGGUGACACCAGUGGGGGUGACAUUGGUGGAGGUGACAGCGCUGGAGGUGACACUGGUGGAG